CACAGUGACUCAGAAACUGAUAGUUUGGCUGAUGGUUUGUAUGUGUGUUGCAGACAUGGCUGUGAUUUCUGAAGAACUAGUGCCCUGACUCACCUGCAGGACAUCUAGUAAUCCUGGGCAAAUAUCCAGACGCCUGAAAUUCUGCGUAGACACCAUUUUGCAGCAGAAGAGGAGGAACAAACUGUGGAAAACCCUGGGAAUCAGUGGCACCUACUGUGCGCUAGCUGCUCUGACUGUUUCACUUUGCUUCAGUUAAUCUAGAAGUGACUUUUCCUCUUCUGCUUUUCAUAGUCCUUUAGAAUAAAUAACAAAAAAACCCUCUUUCCACUGUCAUAUUGAAGCAUGUCUGAGAUUCAAGGCACCUCUCAGAAUGGCCUUUGCUGCAAGAGCAUCUGUUUGGAUGUUGAAGUUUUGGGACAUGGCACGAAAUUAGAAAUGGCAGCCACAAGACCUGUAGGGAGCAGAGCUGGUGUGCUGUGCUGCUCAGGGUUAGCAGCAAGGACCCCAAGUGACCUCCCUGCUGUCAGCACACGUGGCUGAGGGAGACAGCGAAGUUCACGUGAGAAGGUUCAGGGCAAAGUUGGGCCCAUGCUGAAGACUUCUGAAAAUGCUGCUCUGCAGUUGUGGAUCUGGUGCCAUCACCUCCUGUGAACUCACUGAUGUCUCACCACUGUAAGAGACAGCAAGAUCUGGCAGCUCUGCUCACCUCCAGUGUAAGUGCUUAACAGAUACCCAUUGGAAACAAGUGUUCAGCAUGGCUGCAGAAGGGGCCCCAUGCUCUUACUAACAAAUAUUGGCAACAUUUCAUGAAGUCCUUGUUCUCUGUUGGGGAUGCAGGGAAAUACAG
This 847-nucleotide long non-coding RNA is filed under the name Zonotrichia albicollis (white-throated sparrow). RNAcentral's name for it is "lncRNA (ENSZALG00000003940.1)". Lineage: Eukaryota; Metazoa; Chordata; Aves; Passeriformes; Passerellidae. The record is from RNAcentral.